UAGAACGCUGAAGCUUGGUGCUUGCACCGAGCGGAUGAGUUGCGAACGGGUGAGUAACGCGUAGGUAACCUGCCUGGUAGCGGGGGAUAACUAUUGGAAACGAUAGCUAAUACCGCAUAAAAUGGAUUAUCGCAUGAUAAUUCAUUGAAAGGUGCAAAUGCAUCACUACCAGAUGGACCUGCGUUGUAUUAGCUAGUUGGUGGGGUAACGGCUCACCAAGGCGACGAUACAUAGCCGACCUGAGAGGGUGAUCGGCCACACUGGGACUGAGACACGGCCCAGACUCCUACGGGAGGCAGCAGUAGGGAAUCUUCGGCAAUGGACGGAAGUCUGACCGAGCAACGCCGCGUGAGUGAAGAAGGUUUUCGGAUCGUAAAGCUCUGUUGUAAGAGAAGAACGAGUGUGAGAGUGGAAAGUUCACACUGUGACGGUAUCUUACCAGAAAGGGACGGCUAACUACGUGCCAGCAGCCGCGGUAAUACGUAGGUCCCGAGCGUUGUCCGGAUUUAUUGGGCGUAAAGCGAGCGCAGGCGGUCAGAUAAGUCUGAAGUUAAAGGCUGUGGCUUAACCAUAGUACGCUUUGGAAACUGUUUAACUUGAGUGCAAGAGGGGAGAGUGGAAUUCCAUGUGUAGCGGUGAAAUGCGUAGAUAUAUGGAGGAACACCGGUGGCGAAAGCGGCUCUCUGGCUUGUAACUGACGCUGAGGCUCGAAAGCGUGGGGAGCAAACAGGAUU
This 734-nucleotide ribosomal RNA is filed under the name uncultured Streptococcus sp. RNAcentral's name for it is "bacterial SSU rRNA". It matches the Rfam family "Bacterial small subunit ribosomal RNA", at positions 62 to 779 of the family's 1533-position model. Lineage: Bacteria; Bacillati; Bacillota; Bacilli; Lactobacillales; Streptococcaceae. The record is from RNAcentral.